This is a long non-coding RNA of Rhincodon typus (whale shark), 347 nucleotides long. RefSeq lists it as uncharacterized. Lineage: Eukaryota; Metazoa; Chordata; Chondrichthyes; Orectolobiformes; Rhincodontidae. The record is from RefSeq and is a predicted model, not a curated record. The transcript has 4 exons.
AGACUCGUAUUGCGAAGCGUGGGAGGAAGCUUGUUGACUAUGACAGUGCAAGACAUCAUUAUGAAUCUCUCCAAGGUGCAAAAAAGAAAGAUGAUGUAAAAAUAGCAAAGGCAGAAGAAGAAUUUUUAAAAGCUCAGAAAGUGUUUGAGGAAAUUAAUGUUGACUUGCAGGAAGAAUUGCCAUCACUAUGGAACAGUCGUGUUGGUUUUUAUGUGAACACAUUCCAAAGUAUAGCUGGUCUGGCAGAAACGUUUCAUAAAGAAAUGAGCAAGCUGAACCAAAAUCUUGGCUCCGUGAUGAACCAACUGGAGAUUCAAUACGUGGACAGGUUUGUCUAGUCAAGGGUG